GACGAACGCUGGCGGCGUGCUUAACACAUGCAAGUCGAACGGAAAGGCCCUGCUUUUGUGGGGUGCUCGAGUGGCGAACGGGUGAGUAACACGUGAGUAACCUGCCCUUGACUUUGGGAUAACUUCAGGAAACUGGGGCUAAUACCGGAUAGGAGCUCCUGCUGCAUGGUGGGGGUUGGAAAGUUUCGGCGGUUGGGGAUGGACUCGCGGCUUAUCAGCUUGUUGGUGGGGUAGUGGCUUACCAAGGCUUUGACGGGUAGCCGGCCUGAGGGGGUGACCGGCCACAUUGGGACUGAGAUACGGCCCAGACUCCUACGGGAGGCAGCAGUGGGGAAUAUUGCACAAUGGGCGGAAGACUGAUGCAGCAACGCCGCGUGCGGGAUGACGGCCUUCGGGUUGUAAACCGCUUUCGCCUGUGACGAAGCGUGAGUGACGGUAAUGGGUAAAGAAGCACCGGCUAACUACGUG
This 468-nucleotide ribosomal RNA is filed under the name uncultured bacterium. Its description in RNAcentral is "partial 16S ribosomal RNA". It matches the Rfam family "Bacterial small subunit ribosomal RNA", at positions 28 to 507 of the family's 1533-position model. The record is from RNAcentral.